RNAcentral lists this ribosomal RNA (483 nucleotides) under uncultured bacterium. RNAcentral's name for it is "partial 16S ribosomal RNA". It matches the Rfam family "Bacterial small subunit ribosomal RNA", at positions 30 to 507 of the family's 1533-position model. The record is from RNAcentral.
UUGAACGCUGGCGGCAUGCCUUACACAUGCACGUCGAACGGCAGCGCGGACUUCGGUCUGGCGGCGAGUGGCGAACGGGUGAGUAAUACAUCGGAACGUACCCUGUUGUGGGGGAUAACUAGUCGAAAGAUUAGCUAAUACCGCAUACGACCUGAGGGUGAAAGUGGGGGACCGCAAGGCCUCACGCAGCAGGAGCGGCCGAUGUCUGAUUAGCUAGUUGGUGGGGUAAAGGCCCACCAAGGCGACGAUCAGUAGCUGGUCUGAGAGGACGAUCAGCCACACUGGGACUGAGACACGGCCCAGACUCCUACGGGAGGCAGCAGUGGGGAAUUUUGGACAAUGGGGGCAACCCUGAUCCAGCAAUGCCGCGUGUGUGAAGAAGGCCUUCGGGUUGUAAAGCACUUUUGUCCGGAAAGAAAUCGCGCUGGUUAAUACCUGGCGUGGAUGACGGUACCGGAAGAAUAAGCACCGGCUAACUACGUG